RNAcentral lists this ribosomal RNA (482 nucleotides) under uncultured bacterium. RNAcentral's name for it is "partial 16S ribosomal RNA". It matches the Rfam family "Bacterial small subunit ribosomal RNA", at positions 30 to 507 of the family's 1533-position model. The record is from RNAcentral.
AUUGAACGCUGGCGGCAUGCCUUACACAUGCAAGUCGAACGGUAACGGGCCUUCGGGUGCCGACGAGUGGCGAACGGGUGAGUAAUACAUCGGAACGUGCCCGAUCGUGGGGGAUAACGAGGCGAAAGCUUUGCUAAUACCGCAUACGAUCUACGGAUGAAAGCAGGGGACCGCAAGGCCUUGCGCGGACGGAGCGGCCGAUGGCAGAGUAGGUAGGUGGUGGGAUAAAAGCUUACCAAGCCGACGAUCUGUAGCUGGUCUGAGAGGAUGAUCAGCCACACUGGGACUGAGACACGGCCCAGACUCCUACGGGAGGCAGCAGUGGGGAAUUUUGGACAAUGGGCGCAAGCCUGAUCCAGCCAUGCCGCGUGCAGGAUGAAGGCCUUCGGGUUGUAAACUGCUUUUGUACGGAACGAAAAGCCUUCUUUUAAUACAGGAGGGUCAUGACGGUACCGUAAGAAUAAGCACCGGCUAACUACGUG